UACAAUAAUCUUGUAGAAAUUACAUAUUUAGAAGAAUUGGGGUACAAAUUUAGGGGUAAUGGGAUACAAUCAGAUCUUAAUAGAAGGAGGGACAUGCAAGUCCCUAUUUAAAAAUAUUACAACCAUUUAAGCCUUUAGAAAUCGGCCAAAUCAACAAAUAAAUCAAUAGCUCAUUCAAUCAUGCAUAUAUUCAAUCAUCACAUGACAUAAAUAUAUCAUAAAAUAUCUAGGUCUUUCCAUGAUCAUCCUUCAUGCUAUUAUAAAUGGAAAUAACAUAAAUCAUGCUUCAAAAAUUCAAAAUUGAAUGAAGAUGGCUCUGAUACCACUUGAAGGACAACAUUUGUCCAUGAGGUUCCUAAAAAACGCAACUUUUGCACAGUAAAAUUAAA
Molecule: long non-coding RNA, 389 nt
Filed under: Citrus maxima (pomelo)
Lineage: Eukaryota; Viridiplantae; Streptophyta; Magnoliopsida; Sapindales; Rutaceae
Description: long non-coding RNA (CMAX_LNC000862)
Source: RNAcentral